RNAcentral lists this ribosomal RNA (468 nucleotides) under uncultured bacterium. Its description in RNAcentral is "partial 16S ribosomal RNA". It matches the Rfam family "Bacterial small subunit ribosomal RNA", at positions 28 to 507 of the family's 1533-position model. The record is from RNAcentral.
GACGAACGCUGGCGGCGUGCUUAACACAUGCAAGUCGAACGGAAAGGCCCUGCUUUUUUGGGGUGCUCGAGUGGCGAACGGGUGAGUAACACGUGAGUAACCUGCCCUUGACUUUGGGAUAACUUCGGGAAACUGGGGCUAAUCCCGGAUAGGAGCUCCUGCUGCAUGGUGGGGGUUGGAAAGUUUCGGAGGUUGGGGAUGGACUCGCGGCUUAUCAGCUUGUUGGUGGGGUAGUGGCUUACCAAGGCUUUGACGGGUAGCCGGCCUGAGAGGGUGACCGGCCACAUUGGGACUGAGAUACGGCCCAGACUCCUACGGGAGGCAGCAGUGGGGAAUAUUGCACAAUGGGCGGAAGCCUGAUGCAGCAACGCCGCGUGCGGGAUGACGGCCUUCGGGUUGUAAACCGCUUUCGCCUGUGACGAAGCGUGAGUGACGGUAAUGGGUAAAGAAGCACCGGCUAACUACGUG